Molecule: ribosomal RNA, 506 nt
Filed under: uncultured bacterium
Lineage: Bacteria
Description: partial 16S ribosomal RNA
Rfam family: Bacterial small subunit ribosomal RNA
Source: RNAcentral
AGUGAACGCUGGCGGUAGGCCUAACACAUGCAAGUCGAACGGCAGCACAGGAGAGCUUGCUCUCUGGGUGGCGAGUGGCGGACGGGUGAGGAGUACAUCGGAAUCUACUCUGUCGUGGGGGAUAACGUAGGGAAACUUACGCUAAUACCGCAUACGACCUACGGGUGAAAGCAGGGGAUCUUCGGACCUUGUGCGAUUGAAUGAGCCGAUGUCGGAUUAGCUAGUUGGCGGGGUAAAGGCCCACCAAGGCGACGAUCCGUAGCUGGUCUGAGAGGAUGAGCAGCAACACUGGAACUGAGACACGGUCCAGACUCCUACGGGAGGCAGCAGUGGGGAAUAUUGGACAAUGGGCGCAAGCCUGAUCCAGCCAUACCGCGUGGGUGAAGAAGGCCUUCGGGUUGUAAAGCCCUUUUGUUGGGAAAGAAAUCCAGCUGGCUAAUACCCGGUUGGGAUGACGGUACCCAAAGAAUAAGCACCGGCUAACUUCGUGCCAGCCGCCGCCGUAA